This 492-nucleotide ribosomal RNA is filed under the name uncultured bacterium. RNAcentral describes it as "partial 16S ribosomal RNA". It matches the Rfam family "Bacterial small subunit ribosomal RNA", at positions 29 to 507 of the family's 1533-position model. The record is from RNAcentral.
AGUGAACGCUGGCGGUAGGCCUAACACAUGCAAGUCGAACGGCAGCACAGUAAGAGCUUGCUCUUACGGGUGGCGAGUGGCGGACGGGUGAGGAAUACAUCGGAAUCUACUUUUUCGUGGGGGAUAACGUGGGGAAACUUACGCUAAUACCGCAUACGACCUACGGGUGAAAGCAGGGGAUCUUCGGACCUUGCGCGAUUGAAUGAGCCGAUGUCGGAUUAGCUAGUUGGCGGGGUAAAGGUCCACCAAGGCGACGAUCCGUAGCUGGUCUGAGAGGAUGAUCAGCCACACUGGAACUGAGACACGGUCCAGACUCCUACGGGAGGCAGCAGUGGGGAAUAUUGGACAAUGGGCGCAAGCCUGAUCCAGCCAUACCGCGUGGGUGAAGAAGGCCUUCGGGUUGUAAAGCCCUUUUGUUGGGAAAGAAAAGCAGCAGGUUAAUACCCCGCUGUUCUGACGGUACCCAAAGAAUAAGCACCGGCUAACUUCGUG